Molecule: ribosomal RNA, 230 nt
Filed under: uncultured bacterium
Lineage: Bacteria
Description: partial 16S ribosomal RNA
Rfam family: Bacterial small subunit ribosomal RNA
Source: RNAcentral
UAAAGGGUGCGUAGGCGGCCUGUUAAGUCAGGGGUGAAAGACGGUAGCUCAACUAUCGCAGUGCCCUUGAUACUGAUGGGCUUGAAUGGACUAGAGGUAGGCGGAAUGAGACAAGUAGCGGUGAAAUGCAUAGAUAUGUCUCAGAACACCGAUUGCGAAGGCAGCUUACUAUGGUCUUAUUGACGCUGAGGCACGAAAGCGUGGGGAUCAAACAGGAUUAGAUACCCUGU